GAGUUUGAUUAUGGCUCAGGACGAACGCUGGCGGCGUGCCUAACACAUGCAAGUCGAGCGGUCUCGCCUAUAGCAAAAGGCCUUCGGGCUUCGAGCAAAGGCGAGAUAGCGGCGGACGGGUGAGUAACGCGUGGCUUAUCUGUCCCAGGGGAGGGGGAUAACGUCUGGAAACGGGCGCUAAUACCCCAUAUGCCGGUGAGGUAAAAAGGAGAAAUCCGCCCUGGGGUGAGGCCGCGUCCUAUCAGCUAGUUGGUGAGGUAACGGCCCACCAAGGCUAUGACGGGUAGCCGGCCUGAGAGGGCGGCUGGCCACACUGGGAUUGAGAUACGGCCCAGACUCCUACGGGAGGCAGCAGUGGGGAAUAUUGGGCAAUGGGGGAAACCCUGACCCAGCGACGCCGCGUGGAGGAAGGAGCCCUUCGGGGUGUAAACUCCUGUUGUAAGGGAAGAAGACAGUGACGGUACCUUACGAGGAAGCCCCGGCAAACUACGUGCCAGCAGCCGCGGUAACACGUAGGGGGCGAGCGUUGUCCGGAAUCACUGGGCGUAAAGCGCACGCAGGCGGAUGCGCGCGUCGGCUGUGAAAUGCACCGGCUCAACCGGUGCACUGCGGUCGAUACGGCGCGUCUGGAGUGCGGGAGAGGGAAGCGGAAUUCCCGGUGUAGCGGUGAAAUGCGUAGAUAUCGGGAGGAACGCCGGUGGCGAAGGCGGCUUCCUGGCCCGCAACUGACGCUCAUGUGCGAAAGCCAGGGGAGCGAACCGGAUUAGAUACCCUGGUAGUC
This 781-nucleotide ribosomal RNA is filed under the name uncultured Synergistaceae bacterium. RNAcentral's name for it is "bacterial SSU rRNA". It matches the Rfam family "Bacterial small subunit ribosomal RNA", at positions 9 to 795 of the family's 1533-position model. Lineage: Bacteria; Thermotogati; Synergistota; Synergistia; Synergistales; Synergistaceae. The record is from RNAcentral.